RNAcentral lists this long non-coding RNA (820 nucleotides) under Lonchura striata (white-rumped munia). Its description in RNAcentral is "domestica (Bengalese finch) lncRNA (ENSLSDG00000013180.1)". The record is from RNAcentral. Lineage: Eukaryota; Metazoa; Chordata; Aves; Passeriformes; Estrildidae.
GCGGGCUGGGGGACGGCCGGCUGGGAGCGCGUGCCUGCCCGCUCCCCGCGUGCUCAGGAAUGUGGAGCUUCGCACCAGGGCGCUUUGUUUAAAAUAAGAAACAUUUAGUGGAAGAAGAUGUGUUUUUUUCCAGGGGAAUUCCACUGAGCUGAAACCCUGUCCGCCGGCAACAUCGCUGCGGCUGCUGCCGGCGGCCGCCGACCUUGGCGCGGCCGCGGCGGGCACAGGACCGCGUCCUCGGCUGCUGCCUCGCUGCCGUGCCGUGCCGGGCCGGACCGUGCCGCGCCGAGCCUUGCUGUGCCGUGCCGGGCCGGACCGUGCCGUGCCGUGCCGUGCCGUGCCGGGCCGGGCCGCGCCGAGCCUUGCUGUGCCGCGCCGGGCCGGACCCUCCAUCGCUGCGGCGUUUGCACCGAGUUCGCAAGGUCUCAGUGCCCACCUGCCCUCACCUGUGCUUAAAUUGUUCAGCUGUAGCAGCGGUUUCUGCCAGCGGACCAGCUGUUGCACCAUUUCAGAAAGAAGUCCUAACAAAAAUAUUUUCCUGGUUGUAUAUCAAGAGGAUGUGAUUCACGCCAUAAAAAAAGUUAUGUGGCAUGAUGAAAUGGAAAGAUAUAUUGAAAAUAUGGUCAAACUAGAACAAGAUCAAAGGUGAUGAUGAAAUUUGUAGCUGGUUAAAGAAAAUGGUUUGUUUUUUGGAGUGCUGCAGUAGUCUUGAAAUGACACAGAGCAUAAAUAUCUGGACACUUAAUCCAAACCCCACCUAAUUGGUUGGAACCUAUUUGGAAGAAGUUUACAAAGCUUAAUUCUUACAGGUCUAUAAAAA